RNAcentral lists this ribosomal RNA (492 nucleotides) under uncultured bacterium. Its description in RNAcentral is "partial 16S ribosomal RNA". It matches the Rfam family "Bacterial small subunit ribosomal RNA", at positions 29 to 507 of the family's 1533-position model. The record is from RNAcentral.
AGUGAACGCUGGCGGUAGGCCUAACACAUGCAAGUCGAACGGCAGCACAGUAAGAGCUUGCUCUUACGGGUGGCGAGUGGCGGACGGGUGAGGAAUACAUCGGAAUCUACUUUUUCGUGGGGGAUAACGUAGGGAAACUUACGCUAAUACCGCAUACGACCUACGGGUGAAAGCAGGGGAUCUUCGGACCUUGCGCGAUUGAAUGAGCCGAUGUCGGAUUAGCUAGUUGGCGGGGUAAAGGCCCACCAAGGCGACGAUCCGUAGCUGGUCUGAGAGGAUGAGCAGCCACACUGGAACUGAGACACGGUCAAGACUCCUACGGGAGGCAGCAGUGGGGAAUAUUGGACAAUGGGCGCAAGCCUGAUCCAGCCAUACCGCGUGGGUGAAGAAGGCCUUCGGGUUGUAAAGCCCUUUUGUUGGGAAAGAAAAGCAGCAGGUUAAUACCCCGCUGUUCUGACGGUACCCAAAGAAUAAGCACCGGCUAACUUCGUG